Molecule: non-coding RNA, 89 nt
Filed under: unclassified sequences
Source: RNAcentral
UUUGUUUUGCUACCGAGUAAAACAAAUCAAAGUGCUCAAACUCAUUCCAUUAGGUCUUAGGAGGAAUGUUGUCUGGGCAUUUUUUUAUG